GAUGAACGCUGGCGGCGUGCCUAAUACAUGCAAGUCGAGCGAACAGACGAGGAGCUUGCUCCUCUGACGUUAGCGGCGGACGGGUGAGUAACACGUGGAUAACCUACCUAUAAGACUGGGAUAACUUCGGGAAACCGGAGCUAAUACCGGAUAACAUGUUGAACCGCAUGGUUCAACAGUGAAAGACGGUCUUGCUGUCACUUAUAGAUGGAUCCGCGCCGCAUUAGCUAGUUGGUAAGGUAACGGCUUACCAAGGCAACGAUGCGUAGCCGACCUGAGAGGGGGAUCGGCCACACUGGAACUGAGACACGGUCCAGACUCCUACGGGAGGCAGAAGUAGGGAAUCUUCCGCAAUGGGCGAAAGCCUGACGGAGCAACGCCGCGUGAGUGAAGAAGGUCUUCGGAUCGUAAAACUCUGUUAUUAGGGAAGAACAAAUGUGUAAGUAACUAUGCACGUCUUGACGGUACCUAAGCAGAAAGCCACGGCUAACUACGG
This 496-nucleotide ribosomal RNA is filed under the name uncultured bacterium. RNAcentral's name for it is "partial 16S ribosomal RNA". It matches the Rfam family "Bacterial small subunit ribosomal RNA", at positions 28 to 506 of the family's 1533-position model. The record is from RNAcentral.